GACGAACGCUGGCGGCGUGCUUAACACAUGCAAGUCGAGCGGUAAGGCCCUUUCGGGGGUACACGAGCGGCGAACGGGUGAGUAACACGUGGGUGACCUGCCCUCAGCUCUGGGAUAAGCCUGAGAAACUGGGUCUAAUACUGGAUAUGACUCCACGGUGCAUGUCGUGGGGUGGAAAGCCUUGUGCGGCUGAGGAUGGGCCCGCGGCCUAUCAGCUUGUUGGUGGGGNGAUGGCCUACCAAGGCGACGACGGGUAGCCGGCCUGAGAGGGCGACCGGCCACACUGGGACUGAGACACGGCCCAGACUCCUACGGGAGGCAGCAGUGGGGAAUCUUGCGCAAUGGGCGAAAGCCUGACGCAGCGACGCCGCGUGAGGGAUGACGGCCUGG
RNAcentral lists this ribosomal RNA (390 nucleotides) under uncultured bacterium. RNAcentral describes it as "bacterial SSU rRNA". It matches the Rfam family "Bacterial small subunit ribosomal RNA", at positions 28 to 419 of the family's 1533-position model. The record is from RNAcentral.